Molecule: long non-coding RNA, 3442 nt
Filed under: Vombatus ursinus (common wombat)
Lineage: Eukaryota; Metazoa; Chordata; Mammalia; Diprotodontia; Vombatidae
Description: lncRNA (ENSVURG00010007224.1)
Source: RNAcentral
AUGUAGUCCGGCAUCCUCCUGGGGAAAGGAGUGUGCUGGAGCGCGCUUGGCGGGUGUGCUUCCCGCCGAGGGUCUCCCCAAAGCGCGAGGGGGGAAGAAUGGAGCCCCGGUGUGGGGGCAGGCAUUUAUCUGUUUGCACUCACGACCAUGAAAGGCUGCAUUUGAACCCACGAACGAACAGCUACUGCGGAGGCCGAGGCUUCGGCGCACUGAAGAAGUGGGUCAUCGUGGGCGUCAGCACAUGACAUCGGGGAACCCCAAGCGCCUGCGCGCUGGGCUCGGGAGUCGGCGUUCCAUCUCCCAUCUCCGAGCCUUUGCCCAGGCAGCCGCGCCGCUGUCCCCGCGUUACUGUAUCUGGGGUCCCAUAGCUGCCAGCUGUUGGCCUUUGGCAGGGGCUGAAGGGGGAUAGCACCCCCUUCUCGCUGCAGCUCCCCCUCCACGGGCCUCUGUGGCUCCCCCAAAGGAUGUGAAGGAUUUUCCGAGCCAGUCAUGCCGCGCUUCCCAGGUGGCUGGAGUUGUCUUCAUUCAAGGCCCACAUGAGACUCGGAGGGCUGGUGACGGUCCGAGGAGAUGGGCCCCGCUGAAUGUCUGGCUUAUUAAAUGCUCCCUGUGCGCCUAUGCCAGCAAAAAGAUUGGCGUCCGCUCUCAAGCAGCUUGCAUUCUCCUUGGGGGAGGGGAGGGGAAGGACCCGGGCUGGGUGCCCCGGGGGAGAAGGCCCUCCUGGCCACACCUGGCGUCUGGAUGCUUCUGGGGCCCAGAAGAGGCGCUCCUCCCUGCACUGUGCGGCCUGGGGGCCCAGCAACCACCCGGGGUGGGAGGGCCUCGUCGCUGCCCCCGGCCUGUCGUGGAGGAAGAAAGUGGCUCUUAAAAGGGCUGAUGAUGGAUGGCGGACGGCUCCUCUUGGAAUCCCCCCACCCCCCGUGGAGCUGCAGGCGGGACACGCGGGGCGGCUGGGAGGCACCCGGACCCUUCCCAUCCCGAUUCUGGAAGCAGUGACCCGUGAGGCCGUUCCAGGGGGUCCGGUGGGAGGUGAGAAGCGAAUGAGGGGGCGCAGCAGACGAGGAGGAGCUCUCUGGGCAGACUCGGCCUCACGCCUCCUUCUGAUCACCCCCCGGGCCCCACGGGAACGAGAGAAUGCUGGAGGAGAGACCCCAGGCCCGGACUCGCCAGGUGCGCCAGGUGGAGUGCCGGAGCCUCUGGGCCCUGACCUAAGGCCCCUCAGCGUGAUGGAGACCCCGAAUACCAGUCCUUCUUAGCUCCCGUUAGAGGCCUGGGAACGUGUAUUCAUAGGGUCAACGUGGAGAGGUGAUACGGGAUAAUGAAGAGCGAUGGAUGUGAUGACCUCAGUUCAGAUCCCGGCUCUGCUGCGGUAGCUGUGUGACCUCAGCUGACACGCUUCACUCCUCUGGGAGUCGGUUUUCUCAGGAGUAAAAGGAGGGUGUUGGACCAAAAGACCACCAUGGCCUCUUCCAGCUCUAAAGCCAUCAGUCUAAUUCUUAUGAAUUUGUAAACUAGUUAUCGCGAGCCUGCUGUGGGCACGGCCUCAGCUCUGUGCGGGAGCGUAAAGACAAAGCCCUCAAAGGGCUUACUCCAGAAUAGGAGACGUGAGACGAGUACUAAAUAAGUAAGGUGCAGAGCAGGAUGUGGUAAGAACUCUCGUCCGAGGGUAGGGCCGGCCCCUAAUGCAGGCUCUGUAAGGGGUGACACUUGCCAUGUGCCCUAGGUGGAGAUGGCCGGUCUACCAUGGGGCGUUGGAGUGGCGUCUAGAGCGGGAUGUAAGGGGGCAGAUCCGCUGUGCCCUAAUUGUGCCAGUUGUAGGGUGCCAUACCCUCCAGGAGAAUAGUGAGACACCAAAGAGCGAAGGGCUCCUAAGAGCUUGGCUAUGAAUAGGUUUUAUUAGAGUUAAAUAGGUUGAUAGGGUUGUUUAAGGGAGUUUACUCACAGGAUCAGUCGUCAUGGGUGGCAACAGGACAAAAUAACAUUGUGGAUCCCUGCACCAACCCCAGGCCAGGUGUUGCAUAAACGCAGAACAAAGAAGGCGUAGUGCCAGAGAUGGUCUCGGGUCAUAUGCAAGCGUCCCCAUGGAAUAGUUGGAGCUGGUUUUGCUGUUUAUGUUUACUCAAGGUAGUUUACAUUCUCUAAGACUCGAGGUCAUGUUCCUAGGCUCUGGCUACCACUAUACCACCCCUCAUGACCUGCUUAUAUAAUCUUUCUGAUAGUAUCUUUCACAAAGUUUCCUGAGUAAUACACAAGUGGGUUUGUUGACGUGAAGGAAGCAAUCCACAGCAGCAAUACCAGCUCAAUAGGAAAACAACGUGACCAAUAAGAAAAGCACCACAAUUGUUCCAAUUUCCUUCCAUCCCACCCCUAGGGAGGUGAAAGAAAAAUCAGUGGCCUUUGAUGAUUAGUGGCAGAACUGAACCUCCGUGAAGGCCAGAUGAAUUUCUGGAGCAAGUUCAGGGACAAAGAAACAUGGCUUGGGCAAUUUUACAACGUAUUGGGGUGACACAGAAUGUUACAAGAAUCGAUUACAAAAUGGAAUCACAAUCACUUGAUUUUUCUCAAUUUUCCCUUUUUUGUCAAUGGGAAACGUCAUCAUUUUUCCUGGUAAGUUAAUGUAAGAACAACCAGAAUGAUUAAUCAUAGUAUAAACCAUAGUAAGACUACAUAAAACCAUGGACUAAUUUCAGAGGGGAGAUUUACACGUCACCAAGAUAACUGAGAGAACUCAGUACACAGGUAGAGUAAAGCAAAAAGCCAAAAUAGUACAAUAAGAGCCAUCAACCCAUUCUCAAUGUCCAUUUAAUCAGCACAUUUCAUCUUGGAUCUCAAAUGUACCAUGUAGUUGUCUGGUCUCCGGAAACAUCUUUUCUUGGUCAUUCUAGGAUAGGUCUCUUCUUUAGUAGUUUUACUUCUCUGGUUCCAAGUUAUUUGGAGAGACUCUUUAGAUGUUCCUGCUAAAAUCUUUCACAAAACAGAUCUCAAUACAAGUUAGUAUAGCCUCUCAAAUUUGAUUUCUCCAGUAACUAGUUCAUGUGGUGAAAACAACCGGAACCUUGUGGCUCUGAUGUUAUCAACACAAGUGCUGGAAGGGCAACAUCAAAUUAGGAACCCGUAAUUCACUUGAAACUUUGGAGAAUUUAGGGUUUCACAUGCACCGUUAGAAUCAUUUACAUUUGACGUGUGAUUGUCUGAUCUUGUUGCUUUCUCAAAAAUUUUCCAAUUAAUUUCGGUUCCUUUAGGAAGGUCCGAUGCUAUUGAGGAUCUAAUCCUAUAUAUGAAAAUAUAGGUAACAACAGUUUUGGUAGGUAGAGACUUUCCACCCCUAGGUUCACAGAUGAAUUUUCUUUUUUUUCCUUUUUUUUUUUAAUAGGAUGGACGUACAUUUUCAUGUAUUUUAUGGACAUACAAUAAAUAUGAAAUAUACAGAAAAUUUAAAACA